RNAcentral lists this ribosomal RNA (499 nucleotides) under uncultured bacterium. RNAcentral describes it as "partial 16S ribosomal RNA". It matches the Rfam family "Bacterial small subunit ribosomal RNA", at positions 28 to 507 of the family's 1533-position model. The record is from RNAcentral.
GACGAACGCUGGCGGCGUGCCUAAUACAUGCAAGUCGAGCGAAGUUUUUCUGGUGCUUGCACUAGCAAAACUUAGCGGCGGACGGGUGAGUAACACGUAAAGAACCUGCCUCAUAGACUGGGACUACUAUUGGAAACGAUAGCUAAUACCGGAUAACAGUAUUUCUCGCAUGAGAGAUAUUUAAAAGUUGGUUAUGCUAACACUAUGAGAUGGCUUUGCGGUGCAUUAGCUAGUUGGUGGGGUAAAGGCCCACCAAGGCGACGAUGCAUAGCCGACCGGUGAGGGGGAUCGGCCACACUGGGACUGAGACACGGCCCAGACGCCUACGGGAGGCAGCAGUAGGGAAUCUUCCGCAAUGGUCGAAAGCCUGACGGAGCAACGCCGCGUGAGUGAAGGAGGAGUUCGGUUCGUAAAGCUCUGUUGUUAGGGAAGAAUGGAUAUGUAGUAACUAUACAUGUAAGAGACGGUACCUAGCCAGAAAGCCACGGCUAACUACGUG